Non-coding RNA from Chlorocebus sabaeus (green monkey), 586 nucleotides. NCBI's taxonomy places the organism in Eukaryota, Metazoa, Chordata, Mammalia, Primates, Cercopithecidae. The record is from RefSeq and is a predicted model, not a curated record.
CCUCUAUUCUUUUGGACAACGAAAUAUGUUUGAAGACCUUCAACUCUACAUAAUGGAAGACAAAUUGAGAGAAAGUCCUCUAUCACUUUAAACCAUUUGCCUUGAGUCAAAUAACAUCAGUUAACAUGGAAAAAAAAAGAGGUCGAAUCCUUCAGCCAUUCCAAAUCAACAAUAUUAUGACUGAAAAUUCUCAAUCCUUCUUCUUAGCCAUCAAUAAAGUAUUAAAUGAUGCCUAAGAAAACGUAACUCCCUGGAGCUAGAAGAUUACACUAUUUACCACUACAGAGAAAUUGGAGAAUAUGAAGAAAGGAAAGAAGUUACUGUAAUGAGGCUCUAUCAGUAAAAGACUACUCAAAAAUCAAUAUUGAGUACUUCCAAAAGCCCAUAGGUGUAAUGGGGGGUGGGAGGGUGAGAGGGGACCAGAAUCCUGUUUACAAUAAAUUCAAUUUAUAUGCAACUUUUCUGGAUUGUCUGGUCACAUAUUGCAAAAUCAGACUGUAUUAUAUUCCAGAACCAGGAUAUAAUAGGUGUGUAUUUAUUUCACAGAGAGGUUAAGAACUUCUCCAAAGCUGCAUAGUGAGGAAAA